Molecule: ribosomal RNA, 188 nt
Filed under: uncultured bacterium
Lineage: Bacteria
Description: partial 16S ribosomal RNA
Rfam family: Bacterial small subunit ribosomal RNA
Source: RNAcentral
UCGACUGCAUGAAGUCGGAAUCGCUGUAAUCGCAGAUCAGCAAAGCUGCGGUGAAUACUUCCCGGGCCUUGUACACACCGCCCGUCACACCACGGGAGUCGGUCGCGCCUGAAGCCGGUGGCCUAUCAGUAAUGGGGGAGCCGUCUAUGGCGAGAUUGGUAACUGGGGUGAAGUCGUAACAAGGUACC